RNAcentral lists this ribosomal RNA (772 nucleotides) under Yersinia rochesterensis. RNAcentral's name for it is "partial 23S ribosomal RNA". It matches the Rfam family "Bacterial large subunit ribosomal RNA", at positions 2159 to 2925 of the family's 2925-position model. The record is from RNAcentral. Lineage: Bacteria; Pseudomonadati; Pseudomonadota; Gammaproteobacteria; Enterobacterales; Yersiniaceae.
GAAGUGUGGACGCCAGUCUGCAUGGAGCCAACCUUGAAAUACCACCCUUUAAUGUUUGAUGUUCUAACUCGGCCCCGUAAUCCGGGGUGAGGACAGUGUCUGGUGGGUAGUUUGACUGGGGCGGUCUCCUCCCAAAGAGUAACGGAGGAGCACGAAGGUUAGCUAAUCACGGUCGGACAUCGUGAGGUUAGUGCAAAGGCAUAAGCUAGCUUGACUGCGAGAGUGACGGCUCGAGCAGGUACGAAAGUAGGUCUUAGUGAUCCGGUGGUUCUGAAUGGAAGGGCCAUCGCUCAACGGAUAAAAGGUACUCCGGGGAUAACAGGCUGAUACCGCCCAAGAGUUCAUAUCGACGGCGGUGUUUGGCACCUCGAUGUCGGCUCAUCACAUCCUGGGGCUGAAGUAGGUCCCAAGGGUAUGGCUGUUCGCCAUUUAAAGUGGUACGCGAGCUGGGUUUAGAACGUCGUGAGACAGUUCGGUCCCUAUCUGCCGUGGGCGUUGGAAGAUUGAGAGGGGCUGCUCCUAGUACGAGAGGACCGGAGUGGACGAAUCACUGGUGUUCGGGUUGUCAUGCCAAUGGCAUUGCCCGGUAGCUAAAUUCGGAAGAGAUAACCGCUGAAAGCAUCUAAGCGGGAAACUUGCCUCGAGAUGAGUCUUCCCUGGGGCUUUAAGCCCCCUGAAGGAACGUUAAAGACUAUGACGUUGAUAGGCUGGGUGUGUAAGUGCAGCGAUGCAUUGAGCUAACCAGUACUAAUGAUCCGUGAGGCUUAACCUU